AGAGUUUGAUCAUGGCUCAGGAUGAACGCUGGCGGCGUGCCUAAUACAUGCAAGUCGAGCGAACCGAUUAGAAGCUUGCUUCUAUGACGUUAGCGGCGGACGGGUGAGUAACACGUGGGCAACCUGCCUGUAAGACUGGGAUAACUUCGGGAAACCGAAGCUAAUACCGGAUAGGAUCUUCUCCUUCAUGGGAGAUGAUUGAAAGAUGGUUUCGGCUAUCACUUACAGAUGGGCCCGCGGUGCAUUAGCUAGUUGGUGAGGUAACGGCUCACCAAGGCAACGAUGCAUAGCCGACCUGAGAGGGUGAUCGGCCACACUGGGACUGAGACACGGCCCAGACUCCUACGGGAGGCAGCAGUAGGGAAUCUUCCGCAAUGGACGAAAGUCUGACGGAGCAACGCCGCGUGAGUGAUGAAGGCUUUCGGGUCGUAAAACUCUGUUGUUAGGGAAGAACAAGUACGAGAGUAACUGCUCGUACCUUGACGGUACCUAACCAGAAAGCCACGGCUAACUACGUGCCAGCAGCCGCGGUAAUACGUAGGUGGCAAGCGUUAUCCGGAAUUAUUGGGCGUAAAGCGCGCGCAGGCGGUUUCUUAAGUCUGAUGUGAAAGCCCACGGCUCAACCGUGGAGGGUCAUUGGAACUGGGA
Molecule: ribosomal RNA, 648 nt
Filed under: uncultured marine bacterium
Lineage: Bacteria
Description: bacterial SSU rRNA
Rfam family: Bacterial small subunit ribosomal RNA
Source: RNAcentral